CAGAUGGCAGCAUGAGCCUGGGUAUCCGGGUGAGCACUUGAAAUGUCAAAGCCAUGCAGCAAACCCUCCACAAACACCAAUUUGACACUUUCACCCCUCUUGUUACAAGCAGAGAUCUGAAACAUCUAAGCAGGUGUGUCACUUUAUUUUUAUUUUUUUAAGCGAAGGGAGAACAGCCAGUUCAUUUGCAUGAUCUCUAGCAGUUCUUUUCCAACGGAGCCAGACAGAGAUACAUGUUUAAGUGGUUGUCAUGGAAACCAGAGAGCAUUGCUCUCCCUCAAGGUCUGAAAGAAGGAUGAUGAAAAGUUUAAGCAAUCACCAUGGAAACGUAGAGGAGAUACAAGGCGGGUUCAGAUCCCAGCACACUAACAGAUCAGUCUUCAGGUGCUGAGGUCCUGGUGGAAGGUGAAUUCUGACUAUUCACUGUGGCUUCCAGAAUCAGGGCUGACCCAGAGGCCACAUCCACAGUCAUGGGCUCAGAGCAUCCCAGGGGCUCAGCAGUGAGUUUCCUCAGCAUGGCAGAAGCCCACAGAUCUGCUGUCACAAAGUGGAACCCUGCUCAGGUCUGCAGGAGAAAAGACAUUCGAAGCCCAGCCUGGUCUUUCUCUGGUCUUGACCAAGAUGUGUUCCCUUUCAUGUCUGUGAAUAACCAAAAGAAGCAAGAGGUUCCUGCCUCCCAUCACUAUUCUACACGGAGAGUGAUCUUUUACAAACAGACGUUGGGCAAUGUCCUUGCUUCUCAUCUCAUUCAAAGUAAAAUCCGCACCCUCAGAGGCUUCUCAGAGCUGACCUCAUCUCCUACUGUUGAUCUCCGACUGUUCUGCCCCCACUGCUCCAGGGUGACAUUGACUUCCUCUUAGCACAUACAGGGCUUCUGCCCUUGUGCCCUCUACCUGGAAGGCCCUUCCUCUGACAUCCACAAGGCUCUCCCCUCCCGACUCACUUCCAUCAGAGUAAGCUCAGUGCCAUCUUAGAGAGGCCUUCCUGGCCACCCCCACUUAAAAUAACGACCCCUCAUGCCUCUCUGUCCUUAGCCGGCUGUAUAUUCCUUCAGACUCCUGAACUGAACAUCGUGUUACGUCUUUACAUGCUGUUAUUAUAUGUAUAUGAAACCCACGUUAAGAGAAAAGAUGUGGAUGGGAUAAAAGAAAUACUGAGGCUAACCCAAAGAACGGAAAUAGCUACAUUAGUAUCAGGCAAAGGAGACCUCCCUCCGAAAAUGGAAUACUAUCAGGGGACAUUACUGAGGGACAUUAUACAAUGAAAAAAGGAAUUUUCCUCAAACCUGACGUAACCGAUAUCCUCAGGGCGACGACUGACUAGACAGGACGUCCGCAGCCCUCCAGACGAGGCUGGCACCGGCCACAGCGCCCUGUGGCCUCACUCCUGGCCCCCUUCCUUCAUUUAGGUCACCUGCCCGGCUCCUGUGGGCAUUUAGUUUGAGACUCUUGCUUGUGACAAGAGCCUGGCUACAGUGCCGCUGCCUCCGGGAAAGAGCUGGGUGGACACGGUUCCAGCAACCUCGCCUGCCCUUCAGGGCGGGUCAGGCGAGCCUCUCAGAAAUCCCGUCGGGGAGAGACCGGGACAAGAUGGCGCAGCCGGGGGAGCAGUCUCAGGAAAACACCCAAAUUACACGCACCUGCUCAACGACCGUCAAUAAAACAGACUGGAAACCACCCA
RNAcentral lists this long non-coding RNA (1680 nucleotides) under Sus scrofa (pig). RNAcentral's name for it is "lncRNA (ENSSSCG00070009325.1)". The record is from RNAcentral. Lineage: Eukaryota; Metazoa; Chordata; Mammalia; Artiodactyla; Suidae.